RNAcentral lists this ribosomal RNA (226 nucleotides) under uncultured bacterium. Its description in RNAcentral is "partial 16S ribosomal RNA". It matches the Rfam family "Bacterial small subunit ribosomal RNA", at positions 102 to 339 of the family's 1533-position model. The record is from RNAcentral.
ACGGGUGAGUAACGCGUGAGAAUUUGCCUUUAGGAGGGGAACAACAGUUAGAAAUGACUGCUAAUGCCCCAUAUGCUUUAUUAUAGUGAAAUGGAGUUUAUCCGCCUGAAGAGAAGCUCGCGUCUGAUUAGCUAGUUGGUAAGGUAAUGGCUUACCAAGGCGACGAUCAGUAACUGGUUUGAGAGGAUGAUCAGUCACACUGGAACUGAGACACGGCCCAGACUCC